Molecule: non-coding RNA, 309 nt
Organism: Pelobates cultripes (western spadefoot toad)
Lineage: Eukaryota; Metazoa; Chordata; Amphibia; Anura; Pelobatidae
Source: the annotation of a GenBank genome assembly
CUCUUUUCUGCUCCUUGAAUUAGCAUGAUAUUAAAGAGGAGAGCACAACCUGUAUAAGUCAUAUAUAUUUUGGGAACACUGAGUGCCAUCUAUGGAAAACAAUAGAUAGGCUGUGUGGAGAAUUGUGGGGCUGUGUCGGUUAGGACAGUGCUGCAGAGGAUAAUUUUUGAUGGUGAAGCAUGGUAGGACUGCCAUUAUUGUGCAGCGGGCCCAUAGGCCGGAAGAUGAUAGUCUGAGGCAGAAGGCCCCGGGCGCUCUGUAUUUAGCUCUAAUUCAAGCGUGCCUCUGGGGCAAUAAGACAGAUAUACA